CAGUCGCCGCGGUAAUACGGAGGGUGCAAGCGUUAUCCGGAUUCACUGGGUUUAAAGGGUGCGUAGGUGGGCAGGUAAGCCAGUGGUGAAAUCUCCGGGCUUAACCCGGAAACUGCCGUUGAUACUAUCUGUCUUGAAUAUAGUGGGGGUGAGCGGAAUAUGUCAUGUAGCGGUGAAAUGCUUAGAUAUGACAUAGAACACCCAUUGCGAAGGCAGCUCGCUACACUAUCAUUGACACUGAGGCACGAAAGCGUGGGGAUCAAACAGGAUUAGAUACCCCGGUAGUCCCUGUCUCUUAUAC
This 301-nucleotide ribosomal RNA is filed under the name uncultured bacterium. RNAcentral describes it as "partial 16S ribosomal RNA". It matches the Rfam family "Bacterial small subunit ribosomal RNA", at positions 509 to 807 of the family's 1533-position model. The record is from RNAcentral.